This 280-nucleotide ribosomal RNA is filed under the name unidentified marine eubacterium. RNAcentral describes it as "partial 16S ribosomal RNA". It matches the Rfam family "Bacterial small subunit ribosomal RNA", at positions 527 to 807 of the family's 1533-position model. The record is from RNAcentral.
GAAGGGACCUAGCGUAGUUCGGAAUUACUGGGCUUAAAGAGUUCGUAGGUGGUUAAAAAAGUUGGUGGUGAAAUCCCAGAGCUUAACUCUGGAACUGCCAUCAAAACUUUUUAGCUAGAGUAUGGUAGAGGAAAGCAGAAUUUCUAGUGUAGAGGUGAAAUUCGUAGAUAUUAGAAAGAAUACCAAUUGCGAAGGCAGCUUUCUGGAUCAUUACUGGCACUGAGGAACGAAAGCAUGGGUAGCGAAGAGAUUAGAUACCCUCGUAGUCCAUGCCGUAAAC